RNAcentral lists this transfer RNA (99 nucleotides) under Pseudomonas alabamensis. Its description in RNAcentral is "tRNA-OTHER". The record is from RNAcentral. Lineage: Bacteria; Pseudomonadati; Pseudomonadota; Gammaproteobacteria; Pseudomonadales; Pseudomonadaceae.
GGCGUCCAAGAGUUUUGGUGACCUCGACGCCAUCACUCGGGGAUUUGGCUGGCCAUCCUACUCCUUUGGUCCACGGUUCGAGUCCGUGUGGGCCCACCA